Molecule: non-coding RNA, 970 nt
Organism: Monodelphis domestica (gray short-tailed opossum)
Lineage: Eukaryota; Metazoa; Chordata; Mammalia; Didelphimorphia; Didelphidae
Source: RefSeq, a predicted model, not a curated record
GAAGAAAGAAAGAAAGAAAGAAAGAAAGAAAGAAAGAAAGAAAGAAAGAAAGAAAGAAAGAAAGAAAGAAAGAAAGAAAGAAAGAAAGAAAGAAAGAAAGAAAGAAAGAAAGAAAAAGAAAGAAAGAAAGAAAGAAAGAAAGAAAGAAAGAAAGAAAGAAAGAAAGAAAGAAAGAAAAAAGAAAGGAAGGAAGAAGAAAGGAAGGAAGAGAAAGGAGGGAGGGAGGGAGAGAGAAAGAAAGAAGGGAGGGAGGGAGAAAGAAUUUGUCAGGCACUGUGCCAAGCACUUUAGAAAUAUCUCAUUUCAUCCUCAGGAAAACCCUGGGAGGAAGGAGCUAUUUUACACUUCAAGAAACUAAGGCAGAGGAUUCAAGGGAUUUGCUAAAGGUCCCAAUCUAGUCGCGCUGAAGCUUGAGGCCAGCCUCCUCGGCUUUGCCCAGCUCCCGGUGGGCGGCCCCCAGCUCUUCCUCCAGCUGUCCCAUCUGGCGGCAGAGGGCAGCCAGGCGUUCCCGAAGUUGCCCAGUCUCGGCCCGUUGUCGCUCCAGGGCUUCUUCCAACUCCACCACUCGGCGGUUGGGUUCCCCCACAAGCCCGUUCACCAGAGACUGUGCCCAAGGAGGACCAAGACCCAGAAGAAGAGAGACAAGAGCGGGUCACAGGGAAGUGGGGUGAGACAUCAGCAAGAGAGAGACACCGGAGAAGUCAAAGAGAGCAGCAGAAACAUGGAGAGAGGGCAGAGAUGCCAAAGGAGAUGCAAUAGGCAAAGAUGGGCACCGCCACCCGCUCCAGGGCCAGUCGGAGGCGCUCCCGCACCUGAUUGGGGAAUGAAUAGAGAGACUUGAGGGCCUUGAGCACUUCGACCUCAGAGGAGACCCCAGCCGGGGACUGGGCCUGGCGCUUCACGACUGUCAUGCGUAAGGAGCGCUCGUGUCGGGACACCAGGCACUCCAGGUGCUCCAGCAGCAGCUGAG